Ananas comosus (pineapple) is the source of this 1854-nucleotide RNA transcript. It is a transcript of the gene named auxin response factor 12-like, with no coding region annotated. The record is from RefSeq and is a predicted model, not a curated record. NCBI's taxonomy places the organism in Eukaryota, Viridiplantae, Streptophyta, Magnoliopsida, Poales, Bromeliaceae. The transcript has 3 exons.
UCUACCCUUGCCGUUACACCCGUACACUACUUGGGGCAUUCAUUUUCUUUCAAUUUAAGCGUUUCUAACUUUGCAUUUUGGCAUAGUGCUGUGGUGUUAAAAAGCUUUGAUUACGGAGCUACUGUGAAUAGCACAAAUUUACGGUUGCGGGCCACUCUGGAGCAUUAAAGGCGGCUGCAAACGGCUUACUUCUGCUGUUGCGGACCUAACCGAGGUAGGCUAACCAGACCCUAAAGUGAUUGAUUUUUUUUAUGCAGCAGGAGCAGAUAGAUAGCUUCCUUCCAAUUGAGAUGGGUAUAGUGAGCAAGCAGCCGACAAAUUACUUCUGCAAGACUCUGACCGGAAGCGAUACGAGUACUCACGGGGGAUUCUUUGUUCCCCACCGUGCUGCUGAGAAGGUGUUUCCUCCCCUGGAUUUCACUCAGCAGCCCCCAGCGCAGGAGCUCAUUGCGCGUGAUCUUCAUGAUGUUGAAUCGAAGUUCGGCACAUCUUUCGAGGUAAGGAGAAGGUAGGGAAAUAGAUCCGUACCGUGGUUGAGGUAUUGGAAAGAAUGAAUGUUGAUGCACAUAAGGGAUUAGUGUAACAUCUUCAGGAAUCAGUGCUUGUAUAGCAUAUAGAUAAAUUGGUUAUAGAUGUUAAGAGUAGUGCUUACUUAGUUUGAUGCCCAUAGAUGUUAGAUAUGAUGGAUACAAAUGCCAAAUUAUGUAUUCAGGCAUGUAGCAUUUUUAUGGUUGGAAAGAAUUGAUUGCAUGUCUCAUGAUAUAGGUUGGGUUUGAAGGUAAUUAGAUAAGGCAUUUCUUUGAUUCAAUACAGUGAAAAAAGUUGAUGUUCUUGAAUAUAAGAGAGGCCCAAGAAAUUGACAAUAAUAUAACAGUAGAGUUGUAAAUAAGCAAGAUUAUCUAUUAAAAAAAUUUUGUUUAAUAAGGACUCUUCUUGAAUGGUUUAACAGAAUAUAUUCUGUGGCAUGAACAGUUAUAAGAGAGAUGUUGUUUCUCACCUUUGAUCGGGAUUAACUGCCAAAACUAUCUUCUUCUUUGAACCAUAGAAUGAGUAAUUUGGAUCAUCAAUUUGAGCAACCCGCCGACCUUAAUGUGAAUCCUGGGACAGAAUGCAUUGUUUAUGCCCUUAUCAAAUGUAUUUUUACAUGUACAUAUGAACGUGUGCAUGCACACAUGUAAAUUAUUUUUUUUUUGAGAGAUAGGUAGCACGCUACCCGCUUCGUUUAUUUCAUUUAGAAAUAAACUUAGCUGGAAAUGUGAAUCAACUAGGAUUCGAACUUGAGUCUCGGGUACCAACCACCAAGCCCUUUGCCACUUGCUCUAGAGAUGGUCGGUCACAUGUAAGUUGUUGUUUGGCGUUCCAACAUCCCUUUUCUUUUCAAAAUAGUAAAACUUCUAGCAGUGGUAAAGUUGGGUAAUUGGAGUAAACUGUUGCAUCCAGUUCUCCAGUGUUAUAUGAUUCUUCAUAAACAACAUACCCCAUGUAUCCAUCAUUGUUCCCCCUGAGGCUCAAGUGUCCUUAGCAGCCUGGAGCAUCAUAUUCUCAAGAGAAUAAAGAACUCGAGAGCAAUUCCCCGGUGUUUCUAAGAGGGGGUAGUGGAGAACGAGGCAUUCAGCCUUUUAAUUUUCUGCCUUUUGGUGUGAACCCCUAGGUUCAACAGAGGUCAGAACUAUCACCGGUGGAGAAUAAGCUUAAUUAAAUGCUAUGUUGUUACUCCAAUUUUAAACUAAAUGCCCACUUUCAAUGAGUGAUCCUCCAAUGUAAUUGAUAGCCCCUGCUAAGAUGAAUGCAUAGAAUGGUAGACAUAAAUUGAAAUAUGGUCUUCUCAUAUUUUGGUGAUGCUUUUACUGUCUA